ACGCAAUUAGCGGGUUUACGAGGGGGCAUAAAAGUACUUAGAAGGUACAGAUUUUGUCCGUGGUACUCCUAACCUAACCCUCCUGUCUUUAAUUAGAAUAAUAAUAGAAUUUUACUGUUCUAUUAUACAACUGGUUUGUUCGCCCUACUUCCAGUCAAAAACACGAAAGGGUAUUCUCGUAUAACCCCUUCUUU
RNAcentral lists this non-coding RNA (194 nucleotides) under Lasioglossum morio. The record is from RNAcentral. Lineage: Eukaryota; Metazoa; Arthropoda; Insecta; Hymenoptera; Halictidae.